RNAcentral lists this long non-coding RNA (476 nucleotides) under Lathyrus oleraceus (garden pea). RNAcentral describes it as "Pisum sativum (pea) long non-coding RNA (PSAT_LNC032779)". Lineage: Eukaryota; Viridiplantae; Streptophyta; Magnoliopsida; Fabales; Fabaceae. The record is from RNAcentral.
AAGAACAAACAAAAGAAAGGAUUUAAAAGAUGGUUCUUGGAGUGUAAGGGGGCGAAGGUCGACAGUUUAUGAUUCUAAGCGAAGGGAUUUGGUAGGCGCCCAAAAUUUGAAGGUGGUCGGCCAAAAGUGUUUUCACUGAAGUGAGUAGGGGUUUACGUUUGGUGAGUUAGAGAGAUGCCAUGGGAAAUAAUGGAUAAGAGUCGGUUUUGUAUGAUAUGGAGUAUGUCUUUUAAAGUGAUGAAGACAUGGUGGUGUAUGAGGGUUUUGAAGUUGUUGUUGUGUUAUUUUUAAGAAGAAGAUGAUGAUAAUAGGUUUAUUUGUUUGAUAAAGAGUGGAAGUGUUGUUGUUGUUAAGUUAUGUUUAUGAAGUUGAUUGCUUGUGUUGAUGUUCUUGAUUACUUGUAUUGAUCUUGUUUAAUGAAGAAAGAAGAGUGGAAAGAGAGUGGUUUUGGAAACUUGAUGAAGAGUGUGAUAUGG